CGUGCGCACGUCUAAAGUUAGUUAUCUUCCUUUCUGAAUCUUUAUGAUAGAUAUUAGUUGACCUGGAAGUGUCAUCUGUUUGCUUAAUUGGAAUAUGAAUAUGGUAAAUUUUCUUAUUUUUUAAUAGCAGCUGUCCAUUUGUUUUCCAUACUGCCACUUGGAACAACUGAGUCUUCACACCCUCUUGAAAAUACCUGGAUCUCGUUGACUUAUCUCAAGCUGAUUCUUAAGUUACACUGUUGGAUAAACGUGCAAACCCUAAUUUUGAAACUAUCUGCUAGCACAAGAAUAAGUGAAUUUGAAUCCCUGCUUCAAAAUCGCAGCGAGACACCUCCGAGUUGGAUAGAAAUGUUUUCUUGGUCUGAAGCAAUGCAAGAUGAUGAAGGGUAAACUGCGAGUAGUUCAGGGUCAAGUACUUCAAAUCUAGUAAACUUCAAGCUACAUGUUGAACUUACCAGACCCAUCUUGUGAUUGGAUGGAUUUUUAGAAGACUUCUAUAAGGUGAAAUUGAAUGAAUGAUUGCAAUGUUUUAUUUACAUUAAGCUAGUAAAGUACAUUUACUGCUUUGAAACUAAUUCACCAACCAUUAGGUUAUUUAAAAUAAAGCAUAUUGCUAUGACAAUGCCAGAAAGAAUACCUUGCCUUAUUUUAUAACAACCGUUAGCGUUUGAGUGUAAAUUGAUAAAUCUGAUUUGGAUCCUAAUUUCUAAAUGGCUCUCUUCUCAAUACUCUAAGAAUAAUAAAUGCAAUUUCAUAUUAAUAGAUUGCAUUAUAAUUCCCUUAUCAUAUUGUGUUAAAAUUAAGGACAAUUACUGGCAACCAAGUGCGGGAUAUGUAUGUUGUAAUUCGGUAGUUUAAUUUCAUUUCAUAUUUCUAUUAAGAGUAAAUCGGCACAAUAUUUAAGAUGCAUGAAGAGGGAGAAUUUACUCUAAUGUACUAUCAGACUUGCGUUUUUUUUUCUUAAAUUGUGGUAUGCAUUGUUGUAAAAUGCAAUUUGGCUUCCUGUAGGACAGAUCUUGGAUAUGGUUUCGCUGAGAUAAUGAUUGAUAAUACAGGAUGGCCAGAUUUAGUCUGGCUAGGUGGUUGUUCUCCCCGCCCUGUUGGGUAAAAAAAAUUGUAGGUUUGGUCACCCCGUAUUGAUGACGGGAGAUGCCCCUUUCGGAAGGGGUGUACCCAAACCGGUGAUGGACCUUAGGACUCUGCCUUAGUUGGAAAUGGUGGUGUAUAGUUCAGAUUUUAUUCGCAAAUCUCAGGGUGAUCGAAGUAGUCCAUGGUGAUUUGAGAUUUAGUCUGGCUCCAGAGUGAACUGUACGACUUGAUGGCUAUUAAACAUCAAAUGAAAUAUUUCUCAGUCGGUCUUCAUAGCUUCAUCUAUAUGCUAGUCUUCAUCUCAGAAUUUCAUAGUCUUUGUCUUGAUAAGGAAACGGAAAAAUUUUUCACAAAUGUUGGCUUUCCAAAGUUAUAAAUUACAAAUCCUAACAAGUUUGGAUGAUGGGAAAAAGCAAUAAAGGAAAGGUUUAGUUUGAGCAGUUAAUAGAUCCAUAACUCAUACGAGUGGAAAAAAAUAGUUUGGCAUUAUGGCCAAUUUAGGUCAGUGAAUCAAAACUGGCGAUUGUAUUAUAACCUACAACGAAGUUUUAAACUUCAAAUCAAUGCCCCAAAGCCUUCUUAUACAAGUACAAUCACCCUGGUACAAGACUAAAACAUUUUAAAUCCAAACAAGUUCUCCUCAAUAUUCUUUGAACUUCAAUAAUUUGUAUCUCUUUAAAAGAAUGUUGGCAAUGAAUUAAAAAAAAAUUAACUUGUAUAUAAAUUUUUUACACGAUUUCAGUCUUAUGUACAAGAAAUAUAUUCUUAAAUGCUACAUCAAUAAAUAAAACAAUGUUAAAUGUUUGCAGUUUUUCUUUUCGAUCCAAGGAAAAAGGCGCCAAGAAUCGUAUCCGCUCGCUCAGGGAAAACUCUUCUGUAUCUACAUUGAAUGGAAUAUACCAGGAAUCCUGCUACACAUAAAACAAAGAACGUAUGCCCUCGAGAAAAAGUAGUGCACAAAAAAAGGCUAAAUUAGAUACACAAAUACUGAAAUUUAGGUUUUAAUGAUAUUUAUGAAUAUAUUGCUAUCGUACACUAUCGAAUUUUAAGCCCUCUUCAAUCAAUGAGUUUUCAGACAAUGAAAUUCUAGAUCUAGAUAAUUCUAGAUCCCGAUUCUCAAUCCACUUAUUCGGUAGCCCUUAACAUGACUAUUUAGAUGCAGAAGCAAUAUUUCAUUUAGAUAAACAUAAUAGCAGAAAUUAGAACUAAGUAACUAUUUAAGGGAACUUCAGUUUUUCUUCCCAUGCUCCAAUGCUGGGUAUAAAUUAGUUUCUUUACCUAGGAAGAGAUAAAUGGGGAAUACAGGGAGGUGUGUGCGCACGCUUAGGCUUAGG
Long non-coding RNA from Argiope bruennichi, 2423 nucleotides. RefSeq lists it as uncharacterized. NCBI's taxonomy places the organism in Eukaryota, Metazoa, Arthropoda, Arachnida, Araneae, Araneidae. The record is from RefSeq and is a predicted model, not a curated record. The transcript is spliced from 3 exons.